This 203-nucleotide long non-coding RNA is filed under the name Pan troglodytes (chimpanzee). RNAcentral describes it as "long non-coding RNA NONPTRT009638". Lineage: Eukaryota; Metazoa; Chordata; Mammalia; Primates; Hominidae. The record is from RNAcentral.
GAAAUCGAGACCAUCCUGGCCAACAUAGUGAAACCCUGUCUCUACUAAAAUACAAAAAAUUAGCCAGGCAUGGUGGCACAUGCCUGUAGCCCCAGCUACUCGGGAGGCUGAGGCAGGAGAAUCGCUUAAAUCCAGGAGGUGGUGCUUAGCACAGGCAGGGGACCCUCUCCCCGCAGUGUGGCCUGUGAUAUUAGAGCCAAGGG